GGCACGUUGAGAGUGAUGCCAGGAAUCAAGAUGGCCGCCUGGGACCGCUCUCAGCACCUUCGGCCUCUACCUGAAGAGCCACGCCCCGUCUGCUACACCCAACCGAUUGGUUCCUCAAUCACAGAGAGGAAAGGCAACAUGAGGAUGACGUCAGAUACAAAUAUGGCGUUUUGGACGGGCUCGAUAGUUUGCUUGGCCUCUACUCAAGGAAUGCUGAUGGUAUAGCAAGAAGGUAUUCUGAGCAUUAUAUCAAUGGGGAAGUUCUAGAUCUUUUGCAAAGCAGGAGCAAGCUGCCCUGUUGUGAGCUCUCUGGUGGAGAGCCCCACAUGGCAAGAAAAUGAGAAGCCCCCUGAACAGACAAGAGCUGAGGCCCAGGAUACAAUAUCCUGAAAAAAACUGAAUCCUGCUGACAGUUGCCCAAGUGAAGCUGGAAGUGGAUCUUUCUGCAGUGGAUCCUUGAGAUGACUGCAGCCGUGGCUGACAACUUGAUUGCUGCCUGUGAAGGACCCUGAACCAGAGGACUCAGCGAAAUUGUGCCCAGAUUCCUGACCUACAGAGGCAGUGAGAUAAUAAAUGCUGUUGAGGUCACAAAGUUUUGAGGUAUUUGUUAAUACAGCAAUGGAUACUUAAUACAGCUUCCUACAUGGUCUCCCUCCUUCGACCUUCAUGCUACAAUCUGUUGUCCACACAGCAGUCAGAGAUGCUUUUAAAACAUAAGUCAGAUCAUCAUGACACUCACCUCCCUGCUAAGUGUCCUGCAAGGCCUUUCACGGUCUGAUCCCCUAUCCUUU
Molecule: non-coding RNA, 791 nt
Filed under: Pan troglodytes (chimpanzee)
Lineage: Eukaryota; Metazoa; Chordata; Mammalia; Primates; Hominidae
Source: RNAcentral